RNAcentral lists this ribosomal RNA (445 nucleotides) under uncultured bacterium. Its description in RNAcentral is "partial 16S ribosomal RNA". It matches the Rfam family "Bacterial small subunit ribosomal RNA", at positions 354 to 796 of the family's 1533-position model. The record is from RNAcentral.
GUGGGGAAUAUUGGUCAAUGGGCGCAAGCCUGAACCAGCCAUGCCGCGUGCAGGAAGACGGUCCUAUGGAUUGUAAACUGCUUUUAUUUGGGAAUAAACUCCGGUACGUGUACCGGCCUGAAGGUACCAAAUGAAUAAGCACCGGCUAACUCCGUGCCAGCAGCCGCGGUAAUACGGAGGGUGCAAGCGUUAUCCGGAAUCAUUGGGUUUAAAGGGUCCGCAGGCGGUCUUAUAAGUCAGUGGUGAAAGCCUACAGCUCAACUGUAGAACUGCCAUUGAUACUGUAGGACUUGAAUUCGAUCGAAGUGGGAGGAAUGUGACAUGUAGCUGUGAAAUGCUUAGAUAUGUCACAGAACACCGAUAGCGAAGGCAGCUCACUAGGUCUGGAUUGACGCUCAGGGACGAAAGCGUGGGGAGCAAACAGGAUUAGAAACCCUGGUAGUCC